ACUGGGCACGGUGGCAUGUACCUGUAAUCCCAGUGGCUCAGGAGGUGGAGGCAGGAGGAUUGCAAGUUCAAAGGCAGCCUCAGCCAUUUAGUGAGGUCCUAAUCAACAUUGCAAGACCUUGUCUCAA
RNAcentral lists this small RNA (127 nucleotides) under Marmota monax (woodchuck). The record is from RNAcentral. Lineage: Eukaryota; Metazoa; Chordata; Mammalia; Rodentia; Sciuridae.